Molecule: long non-coding RNA, 1116 nt
Organism: Spinacia oleracea (spinach)
Lineage: Eukaryota; Viridiplantae; Streptophyta; Magnoliopsida; Caryophyllales; Amaranthaceae
Exons: 5
Source: RefSeq, a predicted model, not a curated record
AAAAAAAAGAAAAAAAAAACCUCACUUUUGUUCAUAGGAAUUGACGAAGAAGAAGGAACCCACCAUCUCAACUUUCUCAAGUUCUCAACUGCUAUUCCUAUUCGUAUGAAAUAUCAGAAGUCGGUCCAAACUCUAGAAAUUUCAAAGUUCAAAAACAAAUAGAAACUCCAAAGUUAGAAGAGAAAUCGAAGCUUCUGGUAAACUGAAGAUUUAGUUUCUAAUUUGAGAGGGAAAUUUCCUAAAUUUCUUAAAUUCAUAAGUUUUUCCCUCCGAAAAUUCCCGUAAUAUUUGGGAUAUGGGAACUGCAAUUAGGUUUUACUCUUUUUCCCUUGACCAAAACUCCUCCUCCUAUACAGCUAUCACCAAAAAAAAUCUGGGAAAAGAACGAACCUCCCGCAAGAAGGGUUUGAGAUGCAAAAGACCGGAAAGAUCCUCUCUGCUCCUGAUCUUUACUUGAAAAAUCAUACGAAAAAGGACAAUACUAUGACAAGUGAGGAGGCACAAAAAAUCUAGGAUGAUGCUCAUAUCUUCUGCAUGGAAGGCCAAGUUAAAGAUGAAGUCAGGGCUGCACUAAAUUUUAUCAACUACGUGUAUGACAAAUUUGGGUUUACCUUCGAGCUAAAGCUGUCAACUAGACCAGAGAAUUACCUAGGAGAAAAAGAGACUUGGGAGAAGGCUUGGGAGAAGGCUGAGACGACUGUCGUAGUUUGGAAGAGUUAUACAUCAAACUAAACAAAUCAAUGAUUCCAGUAUAUUACUGCAUAUAUUACUGCAGGAUCUUUUUCUCCUGAGAUGGAGCCACCAAAGGAGAAAGAUUGUUUAAUAUAUAUUUUACGUGCCAUAGAGAUUGCAAUCCAAAGCUGUAGGGCUGCGUAGCAGUUGAAGACUAUCUAUUGAAAUAGGUUUUUUAAGCUUCUUUUAGGCAUUUUGUUUUUUUUACCAUAGUUGAUUAUGGUUGACUUUACUAAGAGUUGUAUUAUGUUCAUGGCUUGCAAAGUGUUUUUAGUUAGGUGUUUGUUUUUUUACCUUGUACAAACCAUAUUUCCUUUGGUUUUCAUACAAUGAUUAUUUACCCAAAAGAAUAGUUGGGUUAUAUAAAGUAUUACAUAUUGCAAA